This 385-nucleotide ribosomal RNA is filed under the name Triticum aestivum (bread wheat). Its description in RNAcentral is "partial small subunit ribosomal RNA". Lineage: Eukaryota; Viridiplantae; Streptophyta; Magnoliopsida; Poales; Poaceae. The record is from RNAcentral.
GCUUAUAUGACAUAGAACCUAACAUAUGUAGGACAGAAACUAGAGCCAAGAACUGUAGCAGGACUUCUAAUAGAAAGGAGAAGAACACGUACGGCACAGCAGCAGCAGAAGCGCUGGACUUGGGGUCGGUGUCCUCGCCUGCCAUGUCGUCGAGGAGGUCGUGGACGUCGGGGAAGUAGUCGUCGGCGACCGGAUCGUCCGUGAUGAAACAGCCAGUAGUCGCGCAGAGCGCUCCCCAAAAACCUUAUCACCCUUCUCCCGUACAGGACUCAAAGAGUGCGGUUUCGGAGGCCUACUGUCCCGACCUGCGGUGCACGCCGCAAGCCGGGAUGGAGAAGAUCGUAGCGCAGCGCAGUGCUCAGGAACCGGUGGCGAGAGGAAGAAG